GCUUUCAAAGGAUAACAGCUUAUCCAUUGGUCUUAGGAACCAAAAACUCUUGGUGCAAAUCCAAGUGACAGCU
RNAcentral lists this transfer RNA (73 nucleotides) under Nimbapanchax petersi. Its description in RNAcentral is "tRNA-Leu". It matches the Rfam family "tRNA". From Rfam's summary of the family: Transfer RNA (tRNA) molecules are approximately 80 nucleotides in length. Lineage: Eukaryota; Metazoa; Chordata; Actinopteri; Cyprinodontiformes; Nothobranchiidae. The record is from RNAcentral.